Macadamia integrifolia is the source of this 633-nucleotide long non-coding RNA. RefSeq lists it as uncharacterized. The record is from RefSeq and is a predicted model, not a curated record. The transcript has 4 exons. NCBI's taxonomy places the organism in Eukaryota, Viridiplantae, Streptophyta, Magnoliopsida, Proteales, Proteaceae.
CUCUGCUUUCUUAUCUCGCCUCCCUCUCCUUCUUUUCAGUCUUAUUUCUUUUCUUUUUUUUUUCUGCUGCUGCGUUAUUACUGCUGCACCUGCUGCCUUACCCCACUGCUGCUGCAACAUAUUUCUGCCGGUACAAAACUGCUCUGCUGCACCUGCUGCCUCUUCCUCACUGCUGCUGCUACGUACUACUGCCAUUACAAUACUGUUGCCGCUGCACACUGCUGCUACUCUCUCUACAAUCGGCUGGAUGUAUCUUCUUCAACUAAAAGUGAACUACAACCUCUUUAUUUUGGAGGACCUUGAUCUCUUCUUCUCUCCUCAGAUCUGAAUAGCAGUAUGGGUUAGGGUGACUUAAAGUGGGGAUACAAGACCAUUGAGGGUGCAUCAAUCCUUGGUAGAAUAGGCUGAGGCAGAAUUUGGGAACGACAUCAAAAUGACGUGAAUGUUGAACCUAUAGUUGAUCAGCAAGAGGACAUUGCUUAUGGAUUUGAAGAAGACAAUGAUUUUUAUUUCUAGAUGAUGUAGACUUUGAGUUAGACUUUGAAGACAUACUUUAGCUCAACUUUACUUUAAGUUUGAAAUUUGGAUUAGAUAUUUGGACCUUGAAUUUUAAUAAUAUAUUAGUUUAGUUAA